UACAGAGGGUGCGAGCGUUAUUCGGAAUUACUGGGCGUAAAGCGCGCGUAGGCGGCUUUGCAAGUCGGGUGUGAAAUCUCCAGGCUUAACCUGGGAACUGCAUUCGAGACUGCAUUGCUAGAGUAUGGGAGAGGGAAGUGGAAUUUCCGGUGUAGCGGUGAAAUGCGUAGAUAUCGGAAGGAACAUCAGUGGCGAAAGCGACUUCCUGGACCAAUACUGACGCUCAGGUGCGAAAGCGUGGGGAGCAAACAGG
RNAcentral lists this ribosomal RNA (253 nucleotides) under uncultured bacterium. RNAcentral describes it as "partial 16S ribosomal RNA". It matches the Rfam family "Bacterial small subunit ribosomal RNA", at positions 524 to 776 of the family's 1533-position model. The record is from RNAcentral.